RNAcentral lists this ribosomal RNA (468 nucleotides) under uncultured bacterium. RNAcentral's name for it is "partial 16S ribosomal RNA". It matches the Rfam family "Bacterial small subunit ribosomal RNA", at positions 28 to 507 of the family's 1533-position model. The record is from RNAcentral.
GACGAACGCUGGCGGCGUGCUUAACACAUGCAAGUCGAACGGAAAGGCCCUGCUUUUGUGGGGUGCUCGAGUGGCGAACGGGUGAGUAACACGUGAGUAACCAGCCCUUGACUUUGGGAUAACUUCAGGAAACUGGAGCUAAUACCGGAUAGGAGCUCCUGCUGCAUGGUGGGGGUUGGAAAGUUUCGGCGGUUGGGGAUGGACUCGCGGCUUAUCAGCUUGUUGGUGGGGUAGUGGCUUACCAAGGCUUUGACGGGUAGCCGGCCUGAGAGGGUGACCGGCCACAUUGGGACUGAGAUACGGCCCAGACUCCUACGGGAGGCAGCAGUGGGGAAUAUUGCACAAUGGGCGGAAGCCUGAUGCAGCAACGCCGCGUGCGGGAUGACGGCCUUCGGGUUGUAAACCGCUUUCGCCUGUGACGAAGCGUGAGUGACGGUAAUGGGUAAAGAAGCACCGGCUAACUACGUG